Tachysurus fulvidraco (yellow catfish) is the source of this 382-nucleotide long non-coding RNA. RefSeq lists it as uncharacterized. Lineage: Eukaryota; Metazoa; Chordata; Actinopteri; Siluriformes; Bagridae. The transcript is spliced from 3 exons. The record is from RefSeq and is a predicted model, not a curated record.
CAAACCAAGACCAGCAUUACCUUAGUAUCCUGAAUACCGGGACUAUGAUUCUGACCUGAAACUGAGGACUUUUUAUAACACUCUAACUGAACACUUACAAAGAUUACAAAUCAUCUGGGGUGUUAUUGGGAAACAUUUAGGAUGACGAGAAAAGAACUGAGAAUCGUGUUCAUACUGUGUAUCAUUCUGAGAUCUGUAACUGGAGAAAGCACAAAUGACACAUCUACAACAACAACACCUACAAACGCAACAGCUACCACACAAGCAAAUGCUACUACUGGUAAUGUAACAGUUUCGACAGCAACUACAAACGCUACAGCUACUACACAAGCAAAUGCUACUACUGGUAAUGUAACAGUUUUGACAGCAACUACAAACACUA